AAUAGAUACCCAGGUAGUCCACGCCGUAAACGAUGGAUGCUAGCUGUUAGGAGUAUCGACCCUCCUAGUAGCGUAGCUAACGCGUUAAGCAUCCCGCCUGUGGAGUACGGUCGCAAGACUAAAACAUAAAGGAAUUGACGGGGACCCGCACAAGCGGUGGAGCGUGUUGUUUAAUUCGAUGGUAAGCGAAGAACCUUACCCAGGCUUGACAUCCCACUAAGGAUCCCGAAAGGGAACUGUGUCUUCGGACCGUGGUGACAGGUGUUGCAUGGCCGUCGUCAGCUCGUGUCGUGAGAUGUUUGGUUAAGUCCAUCAACGAGCGCAACCCUUAUAGUUAGUUGUAUUUCUCUAGCUAGACUGCCCUGGCAACAGGGAGGAAGGAGGGGAUGGAUGUCAGGUCAGUAUUACCCUUACGCCUGGGGCUACAAACACGCUACAAUGGCCGGUACAAAGGGCAGCCAACCCGCGAGGGGGAGCAAAUCCCGAUCAAAGCCGGUCUCAGUUCGGAUUGCAGGCUGAAACUCGCCUGCAUGAAG
RNAcentral lists this ribosomal RNA (536 nucleotides) under uncultured bacterium. Its description in RNAcentral is "bacterial SSU rRNA". It matches the Rfam family "Bacterial small subunit ribosomal RNA", at positions 777 to 1325 of the family's 1533-position model. The record is from RNAcentral.